This 4623-nucleotide long non-coding RNA is filed under the name Homo sapiens (human). RNAcentral describes it as "HSALNT0342253". Lineage: Eukaryota; Metazoa; Chordata; Mammalia; Primates; Hominidae. The record is from RNAcentral.
GCCUAGGCGCGGGGCAGGACGGGACCGGUGAGUGGCUCCUCCAAACAGCUAUAGAGACCCAGAAAUGCCUGUGGAAAGCUACAGAGGACUUGGGCAAGGCGUUAGAGCCGGACGUUGUGGUCCCUGGGGGAGCCAACCGGGGAGGUGCCUAUGAUCUUUCUUUCCAAGUUUGAGGGUUCAGGUCUGUGUUCGCCUGCUGGUUAGACCGAUUUAAGUUUUAGAGUCCCAGGAGUUCUGGGCGAGCUGCAGCCUAGGGGCCUGGAAGGCCAGGAAGACUUGAAGGAUCUGUGUUGGUAGGCCUGGAGUUUGGCUAACGUGGGGAUGAUUUGGAUUCUGAGAUGCAGAUACAUUGCCUUUUUGGUAUCCAAUUUGAAAAGUAGCAACCAUUUUGCUAUCCCAAAGAACAUCCAUGGAGGCUUUCAACAAAUAAUAUGCUCACCUGUUUCAGGGAAUUAUCUAUAUCCCUUAAGUGGAUUUUCGAUCUUGUGUUUCUGAGGGCAAGCAGUUAAGAAGGGAAGAUGAACAUAAAGUAGGGAAGAGCAAAAAUGAGUUGGAACCUAAGACACGAGCUGGUCAUUCUUUCACUGUCUCCAACUUUAAAGAUAUGAGUAUCCUUGCUAGAGGAGCUGACACUUUUUGCCACAGGACUAGACACACACACAGCUCAGGAAUCAAAAAAGGUGAAGGAAGACUCAGGGAAAAGCUUCUGCCCCAUCCCAACAAGGUGAACCAGCUGAUUGGUGACAAAGUAGAUGAGCCGCAGUAGCACCUAGUGUCCCUGCACCACCGUUUCAAGUAUAAAACUGGAGGGAUGCUUCAGUUCUCCCCUUCAAGACUUACACAACCAUGUCUCUGUUGGGCUAUUCUAACCAGAAACAAAAGGAAAGGAAAUUCUGGGAAACAUAGUUUAGCUUAGCAAAGUUGAUAUAUUACAAAAUUACCACUGUCCACUCUGCAUCGAGUUGACAUCCAUACAGACCUCUUUAAAACACACUUUCAAAAUAAAGUCCACACCCUACACAUAAGCUAUCUCUAGAGAAAUUUGAAGUCUGUUGUGCACUGAGGAUAACCACAACAACAAACUGUAAACCUAGCCCAAUUUCUGACUAGACUGAUACCACCGAACCACUGCUAUGCACUCAAGAGCACUAAAGGCCUAGCAGAAGGAAAGACACACUCAUCUCCAAGCAUAAAAACAAUCUUUACUUCAUACUGUGAAGAGAGAAUUGAAAAAAUAAUUUAAGCAAAAAAAAUACAACAUGACUAACUUUUAACAGAAAGAAAAAAAGACGCAUACAGAAAGGCAAGAAAAAACACAGUCCAAAGAGAUAAAACAAUCAUUAGAACCAGAUUCAUAAGACAUAGACAUUAGAAAUAUGAGAGAAUUUUAAAUAACUGUGAUUAAUGUGAUGAAGGCCCUAAGGGGAAAGGUGAACAAAAUGCAAGCUCAGAUGGGUGAUUUUAGCAAAUAGAUGGAAACUAUCAGGAAAAAUAAAAUGGAAACUAUAAAAAUAAAAAAUAUAAUAAUAGAGAUGAAGAAUGCCCUCCAUGGGCCCAUUAGGAGACUGAACACAGUUGAGGAAAAAAUCAGACUUGAAGGUAGGUAAAUAGAAAUUGCUGAAACACACACACACACACACACAAAAAGAGUGACAGAAACAGAACACAGCAUCCAAGACUGGUGGGAAAAUAUCAACAUCAAAUCAAGAAAUAGGCGCAGUGGCUCACCCCUGUAAUCCCAGCACUUGGGGAGGCCGAGGCAGGCAGAUCACGAGGUCAGGAGAUCGAGACCAUCCUAGCUAACGCAGUGAAACCCCGUCUCUACUAAAAAUUCAAAAAAAUUAGCCGGGCAUGGUAGCAGGCACCUGUCGUCCCAGCUACUCGGGAGGCUGAGGUAAGAGAAUUGCGUGAACCCGGGAGGCGGAGCUUGCAGUGAGCUGAGAUCACACCACUGCACUCCAGCCUGGGCGACAGAGCAAGACUCUAUCUCAAAAAAAAAAAAAAAAUCAAGAAAUAAUGGCUGAGAAUUUCCAAAAUUUGUAAGACACCAAACCAAUCCAAGGAGCUCAGAGAACACAGAGCAGGAUAAAUUCUUUAAAAAGAAACUAAGCUUAUUGUAUUCAAACUAAGCUUAUUGUAUUGAUACCUGGUAGUUAUAACUUACCAAAUACACUGCCCAACAUCUCCAGAUGAUCUAUUAUUUCUGAAAGUUUCCUUUAUUACAUUUCUUACUUCAGGGAGAUAUAGCCUUCGCUUCAUGUUAUGGUUGGUGCAGUCAGUAUUCUCAGAAAGAAAGUACUGGUUCCAUUUUACCUCCAUCUUUUGUUUCCUGUCAGAAAACCUACCAUACCACCAAGUACUCCUUCUCUACACUGCCUCUGAUAUUUAAGUAAUUUGAGAAUUCUGUUGAGACUAUCUCCCUUUUUUGGUAUGAUGAAUCUGGUCCUAAAUUGCAUGCCAAAGACUUUGAGAACUAAACUGUAGACCCAGAUCUCAUGUCCCAGACUGGCCUUUUGUUACCCACACAAUGAAUGGGUUAAAUUGCUUGGCAGGGGACAGUCCAAUGACCACAACCAAGGAGGAUUUCCCAGGGGGAUUUUAUUACUUGCGAUAAGUAAGGAGGACACUGGGAAUAAUUCCCCAAAGCAAUGCCUCCCUGAGCAAUGGUGCAAACAUGGCUUUUAUUAGUCUGGUUAGCUGAGUCAUUGUAUGUAGAGGUGGAGUCAAGGCAGCGCAGUCCCAGUUGUCGGUUAUGCUGCUACAUAUGUCACAUGUAUAGAAAAUGGUGAAUAAGCUCCUCCUUGGACAGGAUUUUAAGUAUGGUGAUGAGGAAAGUUGGCCAAAGUUCAUCUCCAACUCAGGCAUCUCUGGGUCCAACUGGUCUUUGUUUUUCCUGGGCUAAGCUUCUUCCUGGAACUUUUUAAAACAAAAAUUCAAGAUGUAACAGUUACAAGUGUGUAACUUUUUCACAGUGCGUACCCAAAACCCAAGGACCCUGGGUUACACUUUAGGUGCCACCCAUGUGGGACCUAUCAGAAGAGUACUACAAAGGCUUUGAAAACUGAACUGACAUUGGAACCACAACCCUCAGAAGGCUGGUCAAAACUUAUGACUUGAACCCAAAUGGGUUAAUUACCCUUUAAAACAUAAAUAUCAACAUCCUCCACCAAAUUUAACCAAGACCCAGAGCAUCCUAAUGACAUUCAAAAUGUCCAGGAUACAAUCGAUAUUAAUUGGCAGGUGAAGAACCAGGAAAAUCUCAACUCACGUUGGGAAAAAAUGUAACAGAUGCAGAAUGUAAGUUGCCACACAUGUUGGAAUUAUCAAGACUAUAAAGCUGCUAUUCAAAUGGAAAGUUUAAAAGUCUCAGAGAAGUAAUAGAAAAUACAAAGAAUAGCCCCAUGGAAAUUUUAGAACGGGAAAAUACAAAAACCGUCAUCACAUCAUAUCCGGGGCACAUGCUGUCAACAUUGCUCAUCACUGUUGAUGUUAACCUUGAUCACCCGGCUGAGGUAGUAUUUGAUGGGUUUCUCCCUGUAAAGUUAUUCUUUCCCCUCCCCCUAUUUUACUGUUUAGUGGGAAGUCACUAUGUGCAGCCCAUGCCUAAAAAGGGAGUAGUUGGUGGGCACGGUGGCUCACGCCUGUAAUCCCAGCACUUUGGGAGGCUGAGUGGGUGGAUCACCUGAGGUCAGGAGUUCGAGACCAGCUUGGCCGACAUGGUGAAACCCCGUCUCUGCUAAAAAUACAAAAAUUAGCCAGGCAUGGUGGUGCACGCCUGUAAUCCCAGCUAUUCAGGAGGCUGAGGCAGGAGAACUGCUUGAACCUGGGAGGCAGAGAUUGCAGUGAUCCUGCCAUUGCACUCCAGCCUGGGCGAUGAGCAAAAUUCCAUCUCAAAAGAAAAAAAAGUGAGUAGUUAUAUUUCCCCUCCUUGCGGUGGAGUAUCUACAUUCUUCUGCAUGAGAAAUUUGUCAGUUAUCUCCUAUUUAUUCAAUUAUUUAUAUUAUGAAUUCAUGGAUUCCUAUUUUAUACUUUGGGUAUAAUCCAAUACUAUGUUGUUUAUUUUACUGCUCAGAUUAUUCCUGUGUUGGCCAUUGGGAACUUUUUCAGUUGACAUCUGUGUCCCUUUGACAAACUCCUGUCAUUUUGUGGGGAAGAGGGAGUAGCACUUUCUUACUUUCUACCGCUACAAAAUCCUCCAGUCUUAUCUUGUAUUUCUCUUCCCUAACCCUAAAGUCAAUCAUUCUCAUUUCUCUAAUGAUAAAUGAUGUUAAACAUCUUUUCAUAUGCUUUCUUAUUAUCUGUAUAUCUUCUCUGAUGAUUACCAAGGAUGGGAAGGGUAGUAGGGGGAAAGUGGAGAUGGUUAAUGGGUACAAAAAAUAGAAUGAAUAAGAAUUAGUAGUUGAUAGCACAACAGGGUGAUUACAGUCAAAAAUAAUUGUACAUUAUAAAAUAACUAGUAUAAUUGGAUUAUUUAUAACAAAGGCUGAAGGCUUGAGGUGAUAAAUACCCCAUUUACCCUGAUGUGACUAUUACACAUUGCAUACCUGUAUCAAAAUACCUUGUAUACCCCAUAAAUAUAUAACCUACUAUGUACCCAUUUAAAUAAAAAAAGUUUUUAAAAAA